Non-coding RNA from Pangasianodon gigas (Mekong giant catfish), 73 nucleotides. The record is from the annotation of a GenBank genome assembly. Lineage: Eukaryota; Metazoa; Chordata; Actinopteri; Siluriformes; Pangasiidae.
GUCACAGUGGCUUAGUGGUUAGUGCUGUUUCCUCACACCUCUGUGGUUGGGGGUUUGAAUCCCGCCUCUGCCC